CAGCAGCCGCGGGAAAACGGAGGGUGCAAGCGUUAUCCGGAUUUAUUGGGUUUAAAGGGUCCGUAGGCGGAUCUGUAAGUCAGUGGUGAAAUCUCACAGCUUAACUGUGAAACUGCCAUUGAUACUGCAGGUCUUGAGUAAAUUUGAAGUGGCUGGAAUAAGUAGUGUAGCGGUGAAAUGCAUAGAUAUUACUUAGAACACCAAUUGCGAAGGCAGGUCACUAAGAUUUAACUGACGCUGAUGGACGAAAGCGUGGGGAGCGAACAGGAUUAGAGACCCGUGUAGUCCCUGUCUCUUAUAC
This 301-nucleotide ribosomal RNA is filed under the name uncultured bacterium. Its description in RNAcentral is "partial 16S ribosomal RNA". It matches the Rfam family "Bacterial small subunit ribosomal RNA", at positions 509 to 807 of the family's 1533-position model. The record is from RNAcentral.